GAUGAACGCUAGCGGCAGGCUUAACACAUGCAAGUCGAGGGGCAGCACGUCUUCGGAUGGUGGCGACCGGCGCACGGGUGCGUAACGCGUAUACAAUCUACCUUUUACAGGGGCAUAGCCCGGGGAAACCCGGAUUAAUAUCCCAUGGCACCAUGAUAUGGCAUCAUAUUAUGGUUAAAGCUUCGGCGGUAAAAGAUGAGUAUGCGUUCUAUUAGCUUGAUGGUAAGGUAACGGCUUACCAUGGCUUUGAUAGAUAGGGGUCCUGAGAGGGAGAUCCCCCACACUGGUACUGAGACACGGACCAGACUCCUACGGGAGGCAGCAGUGAGGAAUAUUGGACAAUGGGCGAGAGCCUGAUCCAGCCAUGCCGCGUGCAGGAAGACGGCCCUAUGGGUUGUAAACUGCUUUUAUACGGGAAGAAACACUCCCUCGUGAGGGAGCUUGACGGUACCGUAUGAAUAAGGAUCGGCUAACUCCGUGCCAGCAGCCGAC
Molecule: ribosomal RNA, 492 nt
Filed under: uncultured bacterium
Lineage: Bacteria
Description: bacterial SSU rRNA
Rfam family: Bacterial small subunit ribosomal RNA
Source: RNAcentral